GAUGAACGCUGGCGGCGUGCCUAAUACAUGCAAGUCGAGCGAACAGACGAGGAGCUUGCUCCUCUGACGUUAGCGGCGGACGGGUGAGUAACACGUGGAUAACCUACCUAUAAGACUGGGAUAACUUCGGGAAACCGGAGCUAAUACCGGAUAAUAUAUUGAACCGCAUGGUUCAAUAGUGAAAGACGGUUUUGCUGUCACUUAUAGAUGGAUCCGCGCCGCAUUAGCUAGUUGGUAAGGUAACGGCUUACCAAGGCGACGAUGCGUAGCCGACCUGAGAGGGUGAUCGGCCACACUGGAACUGAGACACGGUCCAGACUCCUACGGGAGGCCGCAGUAGGGAAUCUUCCGCAAAGGGCGAAAGCCUGACGGAGCAACGCCGCGUGAGUGAUGAAGGUCUUCGGAUCGUAAAACUCUGUUAUUAGGGAAGAACAAAUGUGUAAGUAACUAUGCACGUCUUGACGGUACCUAAUCAGAAAGCCACGGCUAACUACGUG
RNAcentral lists this ribosomal RNA (497 nucleotides) under uncultured bacterium. Its description in RNAcentral is "partial 16S ribosomal RNA". It matches the Rfam family "Bacterial small subunit ribosomal RNA", at positions 28 to 507 of the family's 1533-position model. The record is from RNAcentral.